This 253-nucleotide ribosomal RNA is filed under the name uncultured bacterium. RNAcentral describes it as "partial 16S ribosomal RNA". It matches the Rfam family "Bacterial small subunit ribosomal RNA", at positions 524 to 776 of the family's 1533-position model. The record is from RNAcentral.
UACGGAGGGUGCAAGCGUUAUCCGGAUUCACUGGGUUUAAAGGGUGCGUAGGUGGGCUGGUAAGUCAGUGGUGAAAUCUCCGAGCUUAACUCGGAAACUGCCAUUGAUACUAUCAGUCUUGAAUUUUCUGGAGGUAAGCGGAAUAUGUCAUGUAGCGGUGAAAUGCUUAGAUAUGACUUAGAACACCGAUUGCGAAGGCAGCUAACUAAGCAGAUAUUGACGCUGAGGCACGAAAGCGUGGGGAUCAAACAGG